This 496-nucleotide ribosomal RNA is filed under the name uncultured bacterium. Its description in RNAcentral is "bacterial SSU rRNA". It matches the Rfam family "Bacterial small subunit ribosomal RNA", at positions 30 to 523 of the family's 1533-position model. The record is from RNAcentral.
AUUGAACGCUGGCGGCAGGCUUAACACAUGCAAGUCGAACGAUGAUUCUCUAGCUUGCUAGAGAUGAUUAGUGGCGAACGGGUGAGUAACAUUUAGGAAUCUACCUUUUAGUGGGGGAUAGCUCGGGGAAACUCGAAUUAAUACCGCAUACGACCUACGGGUGAAAGGGGGCGCAAGCUCUUGCUAGGAGAUGAGCCUAAAUCAGAUUAGCUAGUUGGUAGGGUAAAGGCCUACCAAGGCGACGAUCUGUAACUGGUCUGAGAGGAUGAUCAGUCACACCGGAACUGAGACACGGUCCGGACUCCUACGGGAGGCAGCAGUGGGGAAUAUUGGACAAUGGGGGGAACCCUGAUCCAGCCAUGCCGCGUGUGUGAAGAAGGCCUUUUGGUUGUAAAGCACUUUAAGUAGGGAGGAAUAGUUAUUGGUUAAUACCCAAUGAUGAUGACGUUACCUACAGAAUAAGCACCGGCUAACUCUGUGCCAGCAGCCGCGGUAA